AAAAUAAAUGUAAAAUCAUACCACAGGCACAAUAAACUUAAUCCUUAAAAAUUAUAUCACUAUGUACGCUCCCUCCCACAAACGGCGCCAACAGCUUUGAUGAACAGAUUUUAGUGUCCAUCGUUUAUGACAUUUGCGAUGACCCUGAUCAACUUUAUACACAGGGUGGGUCCAUUUAAGUUCCAUUAGUGAGCCAGCUGCGAAAAGGCGUGAUAUUAGACAACCCAGUGGAGUCAGCUAUAGCAUGGCAUCCUAUCAAACCUCAAUUCUUUAUGCCAACAAAUCUUAACAAUUGAGUCCAACAACCAGCAUGCUCCUUUUUAACUUUAAAGUCCUCUGGUGCUGUAAAAUUUGCCUUCUCACUGAGCUCUUCAAAUGCAUUUAGGAGAUUUUGCAGCCUUGCAACAAAUUCAAUGAGAAGCGAAGCAAAUGUUGCCAAAGACAAAGAGCUUGCACUUUCAUAUACUUUUGACUCUCGUUCAUUAGGCACGGUGUCCAUCAA
RNAcentral lists this unclassified non-coding RNA (502 nucleotides) under Hevea brasiliensis (rubber tree). Lineage: Eukaryota; Viridiplantae; Streptophyta; Magnoliopsida; Malpighiales; Euphorbiaceae. The record is from RNAcentral.